This 162-nucleotide ribosomal RNA is filed under the name Cortinarius subcalyptrosporus. Its description in RNAcentral is "5.8S ribosomal RNA". It matches the Rfam family "5.8S ribosomal RNA". Rfam says of the family: 5.8S ribosomal RNA (5.8S rRNA) is a component of the large subunit of the eukaryotic ribosome. It is transcribed by RNA polymerase I as part of the 45S precursor that also contains 18S and 28S rRNA. The record is from RNAcentral. Lineage: Eukaryota; Fungi; Basidiomycota; Agaricomycetes; Agaricales; Cortinariaceae.
CAACUUUCAGCAACGGAUCUCUUGGCUCUCGCAUCGAUGAAGAACGCAGCGAAAUGCGAUAAGUAAUGUGAAUUGCAGAAUUCAGUGAAUCAUCGAAUCUUUGAACGCACCUUGCGCUCCUUGGUAUUCCGAGGAGCAUGCCUGUUUGAGUGUCAUUAAUAU